RNAcentral lists this ribosomal RNA (372 nucleotides) under uncultured organism. Its description in RNAcentral is "partial 16S ribosomal RNA". It matches the Rfam family "Bacterial small subunit ribosomal RNA", at positions 527 to 896 of the family's 1533-position model. The record is from RNAcentral.
GUAGGUGGCAAGCGUUGUCCGGAAUUAUUGGGCGUAAAGCGCGCGCAGGUGGUUCUUUAAGUCUGAUGUGAAAGCCCCCGGCUCAACCGGGGAGGGUCAUUGGAAACUGGGGAACUUGAGUGCAGGAGAGGAAAGUGGAAUUCCACGUGUAGCGGUGAAAUGCGUAGAUAUGUGGAGGAACACCAGUGGCGAAGGCGACUUUCUGGCCUGUAACUGACACUGAGGCGCGAAAGCGUGGGGAGCAAACAGGGAUUAGAUACCCUGGUAGUCCACGCCGUAAACGAUGAGUGCUAAGUGUUGGGGGGGUUUCCCGCCCCUCAGUGCUGCAGCUAACGCAUUAAGCAUCCGCCUGGGAGUACGGUCGCAAGACUG